This 606-nucleotide unclassified non-coding RNA is filed under the name Fusarium oxysporum. RNAcentral's name for it is "partial miscellaneous RNA". Lineage: Eukaryota; Fungi; Ascomycota; Sordariomycetes; Hypocreales; Nectriaceae. The record is from RNAcentral.
AUUUCCCCAAUGGGUUCUCCGGAUUUCUGGAGACUUGUAGGGGUUGUGGGUUUUUCGAUGUGUCGUCUCCGGACGGGCGGUGCAGGGUAGUCGAGUUGGACUUGGUGGAAUUCGGUUUAUUCGAAUCCGUCGAGUCUGGCUGGCACGAUCGUGUGCGGCUGUGUGCUGGACGGUGUAGGGUAGGCUGCUUGGACAUGGUCGGUUCGAGGAUCGAUUCGAGGGCCGGCCUGUCGAUGAUGUGUGAUGUAUGCGGUCUAGGGUAGGCUGGUUUGUCUUGGUCCAAUUUGAUGUCGGCUCCCGUGCAGACCAGAGUGAGGGCGGUCCAGGGUAGGUCCAGGGUAGGCAGCUUAGAUUUGAUCGAUCUGGAGGUCGAUUCUCCGGCUGGCGGAUCUGACACUGUCGAAACGAGAUGCGAGCGGUGUAGGGUAGGCCAGUUUUGUCGUCGCCAGGUUGCGAUUCGGACGAGAUAUGUGGUCUAGGGUAAGUAGAGUUCGAGUUUCGUCGCCAACAGUUUGCUGUAUGUGUAGGGUAGGUGCAGGGUAAGCAAAUCUCUCUCUGGCCAGACGGUUUUGCGGUCUGGUGGUCGUGAGUCGAUUUUUUUGUUUC